UGAAGCUUAAACACGUUUGCAUUAAAUUAAACUCAUUAAAUAGAAUCAAACAAGCAACCACAGUAACAAAUUAUUAACUAGAAAAAGAAAAAAGCCAUGUAAUUAAUAGAAACAAAAGAAAAUUAACAGAAACAAGAGAGCAAAUUACAGGCAAGAAUGUUCCAACCAGGCGAGGCUUGGAUGACGGUGACCUAUGCAGCAAUAACGGCGUGGCUUUGACGACGGCGAGGCGUGCAAUGUGCAGUGACAGCAACGUGCUCAGGUGAGGCUUUGACGCGAUGCUGAGGCGAGGCUGCGAGGAAGACGACAAUUGGUCGACAGCGUUACAAGCCCUUCAGAUUUGGGCAUUAGGGUUGAGGGUUACGGCUGUUGGUGAGGUACCGUGAGGCUUGAGUGUGCGUGGAAUUGGAUGCAAUGGUUAGGGACUUAGCCAUUUAGGUUAGAUUUUUUUUUAAUUUAAGUUAAUAUAUAUUUUUUAAUUUAAACAAAAUUAAACCAGAUUCAGAUAUUCGAUUUUCUGAAUGCAAGUGCACUUGGAUUCGGAUUCGUGUGAAUCUUCAUUUUUUAAAUCUGGAUCGGUAUUUUUUAAAAUUCGGAUCUGGAAAAAUCCGGAUCCGAAUUUUAUUGUCAUAGAACAAUACCUGAUUCCUCUAAUUGAACUAGAUUAAACAUGAAAUAUUCGCGAAUCCUUGUUUAUAUGACUUCGAGUGUGUGCUGGCAAGGGAUACUCCGAUGCAAAUCAGUGUUUGAUUUUUGAGGAUUUUAUCAAGAACAAAGUUUCUCUUAGCUUAAUUUUUGAGAACUUCCCCCGAUUCUGAUUUUUUUCUCUUUCAAAGGCUUGAUGGCUAUUGAAUAACAUUCCUGAGCUACCAUUUGGUCCUUGUGGAUGUUGACUGUGCCUCGUCCUGUUCCUGAAAUGCACCUAACCACUUGGUGCAAGGUUAAAGGAAUGGCCUCCACGUAGUGGAUUCCAUGCCGCCCUAAAAUAGCAUUGCAGGAAGAGGGGGCGCGUCUGCCACUAAGAAAUCGAUGUUUACGGUAUUGUCACCAGCUUUAGUCAAAAGAUUGAUGAUGCCCUUUGCAAUUAAUCGGGUUCCUUUUAGAGGUAACCAAGGGUGCAUAGCACUUCUAAAGGUCUCUUUUGUUGAGUUUCAUGUUCUUAAAUGCUUCCCAUUAUAAGAUCUCUGCACUGCUUUCUCCAUCAACUAAAGUGUAUUCGACAUAAAUUUCUGGAAUUGACAGACUGAUAACGAGUGGGUAGAUGUGGGGAAUAUCAACGCUUUCAAGAUCAUUCCCAGAAAAGUGACUGGGGCAAGGUCUUCAAUUAUGGACAUAACAGCGGGAACUGACAUCUUCAGAAUCCCGCAUUUCUGUACGUUCUUAGCCCAGACAUAUUGAGCUCUCCACUGUUCCCUAUAUUACUCUGUUACUGGGCGUCCAUGGGUAAGCAUAGAAUGAAGCUCGUUAAUAGGUAACAGCAUCAAUUUUCC
RNAcentral lists this long non-coding RNA (1490 nucleotides) under Citrus sinensis (sweet orange). RNAcentral's name for it is "long non-coding RNA (CSIN_LNC004791)". The record is from RNAcentral. Lineage: Eukaryota; Viridiplantae; Streptophyta; Magnoliopsida; Sapindales; Rutaceae.